AGCUUUGCACAGUGGCAGUAUCACAGCCAAUGAGGUUUAUCUGAGGCGCAAUUAUUGCUAAUUGAAAACUUUUCCCAAUACGACAUCAUGAUGACUUGAAAUAUAGUCAGCAUUGGCAAUUUUUGACAGUCUCUACAGAGA
Molecule: small nuclear RNA, 141 nt
Filed under: Aotus nancymaae (Ma's night monkey)
Lineage: Eukaryota; Metazoa; Chordata; Mammalia; Primates; Aotidae
Description: U4 spliceosomal RNA (ENSANAG00000011432.1)
Rfam family: U4 spliceosomal RNA
About the family: U4 small nuclear RNA (U4 snRNA) is a component of the major U2-dependent spliceosome. The structure of U4 snRNA from yeast and human has been reported.
Source: Rfam by way of RNAcentral